This 3238-nucleotide ribosomal RNA is filed under the name Durio zibethinus. RNAcentral's name for it is "eukaryotic LSU rRNA". It matches the Rfam family "Eukaryotic large subunit ribosomal RNA". Lineage: Eukaryota; Viridiplantae; Streptophyta; Magnoliopsida; Malvales; Malvaceae. The record is from RNAcentral.
ACCCUAAGUUAGGCGAGAUCAUUUACUGAGUUUAAGUAUAUCAAUAAGUGAAGGAAAAGAAACUUACCAAGAUUCCCUUAGAAAUAAUGAGCAAACUAAAAAGAGCCUAGCUUAAGAAUCGAGUGCCCCCGAUGUCUAAAUUAUAAUUUGAAGAAGUGUCCUCAGUGGUGGACAAAGCCCAAGUCCCCUGGGAAAGGGCACCAAAGAGGGUGUGAGCCUCAUUGUGCAUAGACCUUGUCAUACCAUGAGUUACUAUCUGCAAGUCAGGUUGUUUAGGAAUGCAGCCUUAAUCGGGCUAUAAAUUUCAUCUAAGGCUAAAUACGAGUGGGAGACCGAUAGCGAACAAGUACCACAAGGGAAAGUUGAAAAAGACAUUGAAAAAAGAGUUAAAUAUUGCUUGAAAUUGUCAGGAUGGAAGUGGAUGCGGGCUGACGAUGCACCCAGUUGGAUGUGGAAUGACAAUAGGUGGUUUGCCAAUCGGCUUAGGGCAAGGACCGAUACGGGUCAUGAUGGUGGCCCAAGCUUGGGCUUUCUACAUGUCGCAAAGACAUCGUCACCGGGAUCAUGGAACAUAGCAUGCAUCAUCUUAGCAUGCCAAAGCACCGGCAUGCUUUCGACAUCGACUUACGGGCUCCUUAUCUGGCUUAUCUUGAAACAUGAACCAAGGAGUCUAACAUGUGUGCGAGUCAAUGGGCUAGAAAACCCGUAAGGCACAAAAUAAGCUAAUUGGUGGGAUCUUUCGCAAGUGCACCAUCGACUGACCUUGAUCUUUUGAGAAGCGCUUGAGUGUGAGCAUUCUUGUAAAGACCUGAAAGAUGGUGAACUAUGCCUGAGUAGGGCAAAGCCAAAGGAAACUCUGAUGGAGGCCCAUAGAGAUACUGGCAUGCAAAUCAUUCAUCUGACUUGGAUAUAGGGGUGGAAGACUAAUUGAACCAUCUAGUAGUUGGUUCCCUCCAAAGUUUCCCUCAGGAUAGUUGGAGCCCUUAGCAAGUUCUAUCAGGUAAAGCUAAUGAUUAGAGGCAUUAGGGGCAUAAUGCCGUCGACCUCUUCUCAAACUUUAAAUAGGUAAGAUGGCACAAUUGCUUCGUUGAGCCAUGCCAAGGAAUCGAGAGCUCCAAGUGGGCAUUUUUGGUAAGCAAACUAGUGAUACAGAUGAACCAGAAGUUGGGUUAUAAUGCCUAAGUGCAUGUUAACAUAGAACCCACAAUGGGUGUUGGUCGAUUAAGAUAAUAGGAUGGUGGUCAUGGAAUUCAAAAUCCACUAAGGAGUGUGUAACAACUCACUUGCCAAAUCAACUAGCCCUAAAAAUGUAUGGCAUUUAAAUGUGUGACUUAUACCUGACCAUCGGGGUAAGGGCCAAGCCUCGAUGAGUAGGAGGGUACGACAGUCAUCUCAAAACCUAAGGCAUGAACUUGAACAGAGCGGCCAUCAGUGUAGAUCUUGGUGGUAGUAGCAAAUAUUCAAAUGAGAACUUUGAAGGCCAAAGAGAGGAAAUGUUCCAUGUGAAUGACACUUGCCUAUAGGUUAGUCGAUCCUAAGAGAUGGAGGAAGCCUAUCCGACAGUGCUUCCAACAUGAGCUUCGAAAGAGAAUCGACUUAAAAUUUUUUAACUGAGAUGCGACAACUGAUGGCAAUGUUAAGGAGUCCAAAGAUGUCGGUAAGGGCCUCGAGAAGAGUUAUUUUUUCUAUUUAAUGGCCUGCCCACCUUGGAAACAGCUCAGCCAGAGGUAGGGUCCACUAGUUGGAAGAGCACUGCACAUUACAUGGUGCCCGAUACGCCUUUAAUAGCCCUUAAAAAUUUAGAGGAUCGAGUGCCGUCUGCAUUCGAUCGUAUUCAUAACUACAUUAGGUCUCCAAGGUGAAUAGCCUCUAGUCGAUGGAAUAAUGUAGGCAAGGGAAGUUGGCAAAAUGGAUCCAUAACCUUGGGAAAAAGAUUGGCUCUGAGGGUUAGGCAUAGGUGUCCUAGUCCUGAACCCAUUGACUAUCGAUGCAGUGCUUGAGCUUCUCUCAUGGUAAGAGAAGGUCAUCGCAUGCUGGUCAGAGGACGGACUAGGAAUGGCUCCCUUUGGUGAUGAACAGUUGACUCAAAACUAGUAUGGACAGGGGGAAUCUGACUGUUUAAUUAAAGCAAAGCAUUGCAAUUGUCCCUGCGGAUGCUCACUCAAUGUGACUUUUACCUAGUGCUCUGAAUGUCAAAGUGAAGAAAUUCAACCAAGCAUGGGUAAAUGGUGAGAGCAACUAUGACUCUCUUAAGGUAGCCAAAUGCCUUGUCAUCUAAUUAGUGACAUGUAUGAAUGGAUUAAUGAGAUUCCCAUUGUCCGUGUCUACUAUCUAGUGAAACCAUAACCAAGUAAACAGGCUUGGUAGAAUCAAUGCGAAAAGAAGACCCUGUUGAGCUUGACUCUAAUUUGACUUUAUGAAUUAACUUGAGAGGUUUAGGAUAAGUGGGAACCCUCAGGCAAAAUUGAAAUACCAUUACUUUUAACAUUAUUUUGCUUAUUCCGUGAAUCAGAGGCAAGGCACAAUCCCUUUUUUUAGACCUAAGGUCGACCUUAGUCGAUCGAUCUGGGCAAAAAACACUGUUGGUGGGGAGUUUGGUAGGGGUGGCACAUUUGUUAAAAGAUAAUACAGAUGUCUUAAGAUGAGCUCAACGACAACAGAAAUCUCAUGUGGAACAAAAAGGUAAAGGCUUGAUUGAUUCUGAUUUCUGGUAUGAAUACAAACAAUGAAAGCAUGGCCUAUCGAUCCUUUAAACCUUCAAAAUUUAAAGCUAAAGGUGUCAGAAAAGCUACCACAAGGAUAACUGACUUGUGGCAGCAAAGCAUUCAUAGCGACGUUGCUUUUUGAUCCUUCGAUGUAGGCUCUUCCUAUCAUUGUGAAGUAAAAUUCACCAAGUGUUAGAUUGUUCACCCACCAAUAAAAAACAUGAGCUAGGUUUAGACCGUUAUGAGACAAGUUAGUUUUACCCAAUUGAUUGUAGCAUCGUAAUAGUAAUUCAACCUAGUACGAGAAGAACUAUUGAUUCACAUAAUUGGUCAUCACGUUUGGUUGAAAAGUUAGUGGCCUGAUGUUACUGUGCACUAGAUUAUGACUGAAUGCCUCUAAAUCAGAAUCUAGGCUAGAAGCAAUGCACACGCCUGUCGCCCGAUUGCCGACCCACAAUAGGGGCCCAUGGCCCCCAAAAGCACACGUCAUAGGUGUAGCCCCCAUGGCGGAUAAGCCACAAGGGCCUCCUUGA